RNAcentral lists this ribosomal RNA (389 nucleotides) under uncultured bacterium. RNAcentral's name for it is "bacterial SSU rRNA". It matches the Rfam family "Bacterial small subunit ribosomal RNA", at positions 30 to 420 of the family's 1533-position model. The record is from RNAcentral.
AUUGAACGCUGGCGGCAUGCCUUACACAUGCAAGUCGAACGGCAGCACGGACUUCGGUCUGGUGGCGAGUGGCGAACGGGUGAGUAAUGUAUCGGAACGUACCUUUCAGUGGGGGAUAACGUAGCGAAAGUUACGCUAAUACCGCAUAUUCUGUGAGCAGGAAAGCAGGGGAUCGCAAGACCUUGCGCUGAUUGAGCGGCCGAUAUCAGAUUAGCUAGUUGGUGGGUAAAGGCCUACCAAGGCUACGAUCUGUAGCGGGUCUGAGAGGAUGAUCCGCCACACUGGAACUGAGACACGGUCCAGACUCCUACGGGAGGCAGCAGUGGGGAAUUUUGGACAAUGGGGGCAACCCUGAUCCAGCCAUGCCGCGUGAGUGAAGAAGGCCUGGU